This is a non-coding RNA of Podarcis muralis (Common wall lizard), 4804 nucleotides long. The record is from RefSeq and is a predicted model, not a curated record. Lineage: Eukaryota; Metazoa; Chordata; Lepidosauria; Squamata; Lacertidae.
GUCCUGCGCCCCCCCCCGGGCAGAGCCGAGUCUCUGAGGGAGAGAAGGAAGGAGCGGCGGCGGCGGCGGCCGAGGGGAGGCAGCCAUGAGGGUCGCGGUGGACUUCGAGGAGUGCCUCAAGGACUCGCCCCGCUUCAGGGCUGCUUUGGAAGAUGUGGAAGGAGAUGUGACAGAGCUAGAGCAGAAGCUGGACAAGUUAGUGAAGCUUUGCAUUGCGAUGAUUGACACGGGGAAGGCCUUCUGCCUGGCAAACAAGCAGUUCAUCCAUGGCAUUCAGGACCUGGCUCAGUAUUCCAGCAAGGAUGCCCUCGUGGAGACCAGCUUGACGAAGUUCUCCGACAGCCUCCAAGAGAUGAUCAAUUACCACACUAUCCUGUUUGACCAAACACAAAGAUCAAUUAAAGCGCAGCUUCAGACGUUCGUUAAAGAAGAUAUCCGAAAGUUCAAAGAUGCCAAGAAGCAGUUUGAGAAAGUCAGCGAAGAGAAGGAGAAUGCCCUGGCCAAGAACGCCCAGGUCCCACGGACCAAGCAGCACGAAGUGGAAGAGGCCACCAACAUCCUGACGGCCACCAGGAAAUGCUUCCGCCACAUCGCUCUCGACUACGUCCUGCAGAUUAACGUUCUUCAGUCAAAGAGGAGAUCAGAGAUCCUAAAAUCGAUGCUGUCCUUCAUGUAUGCCCACCUGGCCUUUUUCCAUCAAGGCUACGACCUUUUCAGUGAACUUGGACCCUACAUGAAAGACCUUGGAGCUCAGCUUGAGAGGCUGGCUGUAGAUGCUGUGAGGGAGAAGAAGGAGAUGGAGCACAAACACUCCACCAUUCAGCAAAAGGACUUUGCCAGCGAUGACCCUCUGCUAGAGUACAAUGUGGAUGCCGCCAGUGGCGUCGUCAUGGAAGGCUACCUCUUCAAGCGAGCCAGCAACGCCUUCAAGACCUGGAACAGGCGCUGGUUCUCCAUCCAGAACAAUCAGCUGGUCUACCAGAAGAAAUUUAAGGAUAACCCCACGGUGGUGGUGGAAGACCUUCGGCUCUGCACAGUCAAGCACUGCGAAGAUAUUGAGAGGCGCUUCUGCUUUGAGGUCGUCUCCCCCACCAAGAGCUGCAUCCUUCAGGCAGACUCAGAGAAGCUGCGGCAAGCGUGGAUUAAGGCGGUACAAGCCAGCAUUGCCACAGCCUACAGGGAGAAAGGGGACAGCCCAGAGGUGGAGGGGAAGCCGUCCCCUUCCAGGGGGAGCCCGGAAACGGGCGCGGAACCCAAAGAGAAGCUGCUGAAAGGAGAGAGCUCUCUCCAGAGGGUGCAGAGCAUUCCCGGCAACGCUGUCUGCUGCGACUGUGGCCUGGCAGACCCCCGGUGGGCCAGCAUCAACCUGGGCAUCACGCUGUGCAUCGAGUGCUCUGGCAUCCACAGGAGCCUGGGUGUCCAUUUCUCCAAAGUCCGCUCCUUGACGCUUGACUCCUGGGAGCCAGAGCUGCUCAAGCUGAUGUGCGAAUUGGGAAAUGAGGUCAUCAACAGGGUAUAUGAAGCAAACCUGGAGAAGACGGGCGUCAAGAAGCCUCAGCCUGGAAGCCAGAGGCAGGAGAGGGAGGAGUACAUCCGCGCCAAGUACGUGGAGAAGAGGUUUGUGGAGAGGUGUCCUGCUGCCUCCGGAGGGAAACCUCGCCCUCGGAGCCAGGGGCCUCAAAGGCACAGCGGCAGCCCGGAGGGGAGAGCCGAGGAAGAGGAGGGCCCCCCAACAGCCAAGGAGCAAAUGGCGGCAGCUCUGAGAGGGGUUGGUGUCAGUAGCGACGAGGUGAGGCGGGAAUCCCUGUUCUGCCCCGAUGAACUAGAUUCACUCUUCUCCUACUUUGAUACUGCCUCAAAGCUGCGGAGUAUGCGCAGCAACGACAGCGGCUUCCAGCACAGCAGGGAGCAGCUGGCCUCUGCCGUCUCAGCCAGCACCUUGUAUGAGCCAGAGGCUGAAAGGCCUGAGGCUGCUGCUUCCGCUUCCCGAGACGCCCGGCCAGAUGUUCCGGGGCUGCAGCUGUACUUGGCCUCCUUCCAGAAGAGCCUUCCUGGCAUGGCUGAGGCGCUGGCGCACGGGGCGGACGUCAACUGGGUCAAUGCAGCAGAGGGCAGGUCCACGCCGCUGAUCCAGGCCGUCCUGGGGGGCUCCUUGGUCACUUGUGAAUUCCUGCUCCAGAACGGGGCCAACGUGAACCUCCAGGACUCCAAGGGCAGGGGCCCCCUCCACCAUGCCACUGUCUUGGGGCACACCGGGCAGGUGUGUUUGUUCCUGAAACGGGGCGCCAACCAACAUGCCAAGGACGAGGAAGGGAAGGACCCCCUGAGUGUGGCCAUUGAAGCUGCCAACGCGGAUAUAGUGACGCUGCUGCGCUUAGCCAGGAUGAACGAGGAGAUGCGGGAAUCCGAGGGACUCUACGGCCAGCCAGGUCAACCUUCCAGUAACCCCACUGAGAUGCAAUACCGGAAGUGCAUCCAGGAGUUCAUUAGCCUGCAGCUGGACGAGGCCUGAGCGGAGCCCUUGCUGGUCUGGUGGGAGGGGCUGCCCCCCCCCCGGCACUCUGCUGCCCCCAGGGCAGAGCCGGGAAUGGCCCCUGCCUCUCUCCCCAGGAGAGACCCUGAGUGGGAAGCCGCCUCCUGCUCCAGCAGCCGCUUCUCGCUUCCCUCCCCCAUGGGGCGCCAGGGCCAACAAAGCCCCUUUUGGCACAGCCCCCUCCAGAGAAAUGCGGGGGGGGGACGGUUUGGCCACACUGCAAAGCCAGCUUUCCCCUCUUCAUGAUCGCACCGGAGAGUUGAGGGGUGGGCUGUGAAAGCCCCCUCCAGCAAGUAUAUUUCAUGGAGGGGGCGGCGGCAUUGGCUACUGUAUGUGCUCUUCAGAGAAUUGGGGGAGGGGGGAGAGAUGGCAGCAGCCUGGGCAGGAUCAGGCCCGUUGCCAGGAGGAAUCAGCUCAGAGCGUUCCAGGAGCCUGGGCCAAGAAAAGUCAAAUUCCGUCCCUGCCUAAUUCUGCCUCCAAGUCCGCCUGCCUCUGCCUCCCUUGUGCUGCUUUUGCUGGCUGGGGUGGGGGGAGCCCCUGCCCCUCUCCCAGCAUCCCUCGAGCUUGGGACCUUUUCCCAGGGGCUGCCGGGAGCCUUUUGCCCUGGGCAUUGGGGUCGCCCCGUGGGCAAGGAGCUGACAGCCAAAAGCAAGGGAGGGCUGCAGUUGCUCAGGGAGCUCAGAGCCGCCCUUCCAGGGCCUGGCAGGAGCAGGGGAAGCUGGGUUUCCCUUCGCUCUUGCAAAGGUAGCCCAGGAGGGCAGAAAUGGAGUUCCCCACCAGAGGCCCCCUUCUCUCGGUGGCCACUGUCACUGCAAGAGCACAGGGCUGGGCUUGGGAGUCCAGGGUCCCUGCCCAGAAACACAGCUGGAGGCCAGCCUGGCCAUCCAAGCCUCCUGCCCUGGCUGAGUCCGGGCUCUGCCCUCCUCCCUGAAGAGGGGGCUCUGGCAGCUGUCCUCCUCCUCCCCUCCCUGGGGGCUCCUUCCUGGCCUGGCAAGGGCUGGUGCCCCCCGUCUUCCUCUCCCCUCCUGGCCAAGCCUCGCUGGCAGAUCCACAGUCCCUGGGAGCAGGGGCCCUGGGGGGGCACAGAGGGUGCCCUCCCAGGUGUGGGAUAGCCGCUUUGGUGCACGAAGCGACGCGCACACACUGCAGCUGGGGGCGGAGCGAGCCGCCAAUAGCGGACAUUCGGCGCACCGCCUGCCAAUGACUGCCAAAUGUCACCCCCCUUAGCGAAGACACCUGGGGGGUCCGCCCCACUGCACCCCCCCUCCUCCUCCCCUGGGAGCCUCCUGCACCCGCUUCUCUCCCCGGUUGGUGCCUUUUCAGUUGGGUUUGGGGAGUCAGGGCUGGAGAGCAGCGUGUCAUUUUGCACUAUUAAUGCACACAGGUCCUUUGAAUGUGUCUGGCUACUGAUCCUCGAAUGCAGCACAGUGUGAAAUUCAAGGGCACUUUAUGUUUCCUCUGUGUUCAUAUGAGAGUUUCUGUUUCUCGAGUGGCCAAAACUUGAACCCAAAGAGAAUGUCCCCCGAAACAGCUUCUGCUGGGCAGCUGAGCUUUACCCAUCCAGGAGCAGCAGCACCCUGUCUGUCUCAGAGCCUUGAAUGUUACCAAAGAGCACCCAGAGGUGCCUUUGGUGGGGCAAGUCUUGCCAAUGAGGCCUGGGCCCCUGGGAGGUCUUUUCCCAGGCCCACCUCGGUCCACGUAGCACAAAUGCCCACAGCAGCUCCUGUUUUCCUUGGGGGAGACUGGCAAAGGGGGUGCCCAGUCCCCAGAGAAGCCGGCCCCCCUGGCUUGUGCCCCCCCCCCCGACUCUCCUGGGGCCGACGUGAAUGUACUGCCAGCCUGCUCUGGCCCCAGUGGCAGUCAAGGCAAUUUCAGGGCAGGCCAGGAAGUAGAAAGGGCUGCCCCCCCCCCAAAGCCAGGCGGCCAGAAGAGACUGCUCCACCCCGCGCACAAGAAUCCCAGGUCUUCCCUGGCUCCACUCCCGGUUCCCUUGCUCAGCGCUUGGGGUCAAUUUUGGGGUGCUCCUCUUGCCUGGGUUUGUGGGAAGCUGCUUUUUUCUCCCUUCCUCCCUUCCUUCCUCCCUCCCUCCCUCCCUUCCUCCCAGCAUCUUUUGUUUCUCUAACGUUGAGCUUCCUCUCUCUGGCUGCCUUUGAGGUUCUCUCCUCAGGAGACGAAACCUACCAGGACAUCUUUCGAGACUUCUCACAAAUGGCGUCCAAUAACCCGGAGAAGCUAAACCGCUUUCAGCCCUCAGAUGUGCAGAAGCCCUGA